RNAcentral lists this ribosomal RNA (505 nucleotides) under uncultured bacterium. RNAcentral's name for it is "partial 16S ribosomal RNA". It matches the Rfam family "Bacterial small subunit ribosomal RNA", at positions 28 to 507 of the family's 1533-position model. The record is from RNAcentral.
GACGAACGCUGGCGGCGUGCCUAAUACAUGCAAGUAGAACGCACAGUUUAUACCGUAGCUUGCUACACCAUAGACUGUGAGUUGCGAACGGGUGAGUAACGCGUAGGUAACCUGCCUGGUAGCGGGGGAUAACUAUUGGAAACGAUAGCUAAUACCGCAUAAUAUUAAUUAUUGCAUGAUAAUUAAUUGAAAGGUGCAAUUGCACCACUACCAGAUGGACCUGCGUUGUAUUAGCUAGUAGGUGAGGUAACGGCUCACCUAGGCGACGAUACAUAGCCGACCUGAGAGGGUGAUCGGCCACACUGGGACUGCGACACGGCCCAGACUCCUACGGGAGGCAGCAGUAGGGAAUCUUCGGCAAUGGACGAAAGUCUGACCGAGCAACGCCGCGUGAGUGAAGAAGGUUUUCGGAUCGUAAAGCUCUGUUGUAAGAGAAGAACGGGUGUGAGAGUGGAAAGUUCACACAGUGACGGUAUCUUACCAGAAAGGGACGGCUAACUACGUG